RNAcentral lists this ribosomal RNA (228 nucleotides) under uncultured bacterium. RNAcentral describes it as "partial 16S ribosomal RNA". It matches the Rfam family "Bacterial small subunit ribosomal RNA", at positions 94 to 339 of the family's 1533-position model. The record is from RNAcentral.
AGCGGCAGACGGGUGCGUAACAUGUGGGAAUCUGCCUUUUGGUUCGGAAUAACACGGGGAAACCUGUGCUAAUACCGGAUAAGUCCUUACGGAGAAAGUUUUAAUGCCAAAAGAUGAGCCCGCAUUUGAUUAGCUAGUUGGUGAGGUAAAAGCUCACCAAGGCGAUAAUCAAUAGCUGAUUUGAGAGGAAGACCAGCCACAUUGGGACUGAGACACGGCCCAAACUCC